RNAcentral lists this ribosomal RNA (470 nucleotides) under uncultured soil bacterium. Its description in RNAcentral is "bacterial SSU rRNA". It matches the Rfam family "Bacterial small subunit ribosomal RNA", at positions 26 to 518 of the family's 1533-position model. The record is from RNAcentral.
AGAAUGAACGUUGGCGGCGUGGAUUAGGCAUGCAAGUCGGACGGGCCGCAAGGCCAGUGGCGUAAGGGUGAGUAAGGCGACGGCAAUCAACCCCACGGUUGGGUAUAGCCGCGAGAAAUCGCGGGUAAUCCCCAGCGACGCACGGUGUCGGCAUCGACGCCUUGCCAAAGGCUCGCCGCCGUGGGACGAGCCGUCGCGGUAUUAGGUCGUUGGCGGGGUAACGGCCCACCAAGCCUGCGAUGCCUACCGGGUGUGCGAGCAUGGCCCGGCACACUGGGACUGAGACACUGCCCAGACUCCUACGGGAGGCUGCAGUCGAGAAUCUUCGGCAAUGGGCGCAAGCCUGACCGAGCGACGCCGCGUGGAGGACGAAGGCCUUCGGGUUGUAAACUCCUGUCGAGGGGAAGGAAGGGCCGCGAGGCCCUUGACCGCUCCCUGAGGAAGCACGGCUAAGUCGUGCCAGCAGCCGC